Molecule: ribosomal RNA, 522 nt
Filed under: uncultured bacterium
Lineage: Bacteria
Description: bacterial SSU rRNA
Rfam family: Bacterial small subunit ribosomal RNA
Source: RNAcentral
UGACAUCCGGAUGAGGAGUGAGCAAAGUCACUUUCCUUUCGGGGCAUUGGAGACAGGUGGUGCAUGGUUGUCGUCAGCUCGUGUCGUGAGAUGUUGGGUUAAGUCCCGCAACGAGCGCAACCCCUAUUUCCAGUAGCCAGCAGGUAGAGCUGGGCACUCUGGAGAGACUGCCCGGGAUAACCGGGAGGAAGGCGGGGAUGACGUCAAAUCAUCAUGCCCCUUAUGAUCAGGGCUACACACGUGCUACAAUGGCGUAAACAAAGGGAAGCGAGACGGUGACGUUAAGCAAAUCCCAAAAAUAACGUCCCAGUUCGGAUUGUAGUCUGCAACUCGACUACAUGAAGCUGGAAUCGCUAGUAAUCGCGAAUCAGAAUGUCGCGGUGAAUACGUUCCCGGGUCUUGUACACACCGCCCGUCACACCAUGGGAGUCGGAAAUGCCCGAAGUCAGUGACCUAACCGAAAGGAAGGAGCUGCCGAAGGUGGAGCCGGUAACUGGGGUGAAGUCGUAGCAAGGUAGCCGU